GGGCCCGUAGCUCAGUUGGUCAGAGCAGUCGACUCAUAAUCGACGGGUCGCCGGUUCAAGUCCGGCCGGGCCCACCA
This 77-nucleotide transfer RNA is filed under the name Burkholderia sp. HI2714. RNAcentral's name for it is "tRNA-Met". It matches the Rfam family "tRNA". Rfam says of the family: Transfer RNA (tRNA) molecules are approximately 80 nucleotides in length. Lineage: Bacteria; Pseudomonadati; Pseudomonadota; Betaproteobacteria; Burkholderiales; Burkholderiaceae. The record is from RNAcentral.